AUUGCACUUUCUUGUUCUUGUUCUUCUGAGUUUGUUAUUGUAAGUCGCUUUGGAUAAAAGCGUCAGCUAAAUGACAUGUAAUGUAAUGUAACAUAGAGUUCCUAACUCAACAUUUCCUUAACACGGCGUUCCACAGCACAACGUUCCCAUCACAACUUUCCCCAACACGGCGUUCCCAACACAACAUUCCCAACAAGACGUUCCCAACACAACGUUCCCCGACAAAACGUUCCUAACACAGCGUUCCCAACACAACGUUCCCACAACGACGUUCCAAACACGAUGUUCCAAAUACAACGUUCCUCAACAAGACGUUCCCAACACGACGUUCCCAAUGCGACGUUCCCAAUGCGACCUUCCCAAUGCGAUGUUCCCAACUCAACGUUCCCCUACAAGACGUUCCCACCACGACAAUCUCCAAUGUGACGUUCCCAACACAAUGUUCCCAACACACCGUUCCUCAACACAACGUUCCCAAUACAACAUUCCCCAUGGGAAGACGUUCCCACUACAACGUUCUGGAAUUCGACGUUCCCAACACAACGUUCCCAAUACAACGUUCCCAACACAACGUUCCCACCGUGACGUUUCCCAACACAACAUUCCCAACAAGAUGUUCCCAACACAACGUUCCCUGACAAAAUGUUCCUAACACAAUGUUGCCAACACGACGUUCCCAACACGACAUUCCCAAUGCGACGUUCCCAACACAACGUUCCCACCGUGACGUUCCCCAACACACCGUUCCCCAACACAACGUUCCCAAUACAACAUUCCCCAACAAGAUGUUCCCACCAUGACAUUCUCGACAUGACAUUCAACCUUCCCAACACAACGUUCCCCAACAAAACAUUCCUAACACGACCUUUCCAACACAACGUUCCCACCGUGACGUUUCCCAUUGCGACGUUCCCAACACAACCUUCUUUGAAGGCCCCACACCGCAGAGAUGUCCAACGGUUGAAUAUCCACAAUGUCUCGGUAUUAAUGGAGAGGGUCUUAAUAAACAGAUGUACAGCUG
This is a long non-coding RNA of Gasterosteus aculeatus aculeatus (three-spined stickleback), 1021 nucleotides long. The record is from Ensembl. Lineage: Eukaryota; Metazoa; Chordata; Actinopteri; Perciformes; Gasterosteidae.